RNAcentral lists this ribosomal RNA (488 nucleotides) under uncultured bacterium. Its description in RNAcentral is "partial 16S ribosomal RNA". It matches the Rfam family "Bacterial small subunit ribosomal RNA", at positions 29 to 503 of the family's 1533-position model. The record is from RNAcentral.
AGUGAACGCUGGCGGUAGGCCUAACACAUGCAAGUCGAACGGCAGCACAGUAAGAGCUUGCUCUUACGGGUGGCGAGUGGCGGAUGGGUGAGGAAUACAUCGGAAUCUACUCUUUCGUGGGGGAUAACGUAGGGAAACUUACGCUAAUACCGCAUACGACCUACGGGUGAAAGCAGGGGAUCUUCGGACCUUUCGCGAUUGAAUGAGCCGAUGUUGGAUUAGCUAGUUGGCGGGGUAAAGGCCCACCAAGGCGACGACCCGCAGCUGGUCUGAGAGGAUGAUCGGCCGAACUGGAGCUGAGACACGGUCCAGACGACUACGGGAGGCAGCAGUGGGGAAUAGUGGACAAGGGGCGCAAGCCUGAUCCAGCCAUACCGCGUGGGUGAAGAAGGCCUUCGGGUGGUAAAGCCCUUUUGUUGGGAAAGAAAAGCAGCAGGUUAAUACCCCGCUGUUCUGACGGUACCCAAAGAAUAAGCACCGGCUAACUU